UACAGAGGGUGCGAGCGUUAAUCGGAAUUACUGGGCGUAAAGGGCGCGUAGGUGGUGAGAUGUGUGUGAUGUGAAAGCCCCGGGCUUAACCUGGGAAGGGCAUCGCAAACUAUCUGACUGGAGUACAGGAGAGGGUGGCGGAAUUUCCGGUGUAGCGGUGAAAUGCGUAGAUAUCGGAAGGAACGUCAGUGGCGAAGGCGGCCACCUGGACUGAUACUGACACUGAGGCGCGAAAGCGUGGGGAGCGAACAGG
Molecule: ribosomal RNA, 253 nt
Filed under: uncultured bacterium
Lineage: Bacteria
Description: partial 16S ribosomal RNA
Rfam family: Bacterial small subunit ribosomal RNA
Source: RNAcentral